UACGUAGGGUGCAAGCGUUGUCCGGAAUUAUUGGGCGUAAAGAGCUCGUAGGCGGUCUGUCACGUCGGCUGUGAAAUCCCGAGGCUCAACCUCGGGUCUGCAGUCGAUACGGGCAAACUAGAGUAUUGCAGGGGAGACUGGAAUUCCUGGUGUAGCGGUGAAAUGUGUAGAGAUCGGGAGGAACACCGGUGGCGAAGGCGGGUCUCUGGGCAAUUCCUGACGCUGAGGCGCGAAAGCGUGGGGAGCAAACGGG
Molecule: ribosomal RNA, 253 nt
Filed under: uncultured bacterium
Lineage: Bacteria
Description: partial 16S ribosomal RNA
Rfam family: Bacterial small subunit ribosomal RNA
Source: RNAcentral